Molecule: ribosomal RNA, 600 nt
Filed under: uncultured Nitrospirota bacterium
Lineage: Bacteria; Pseudomonadati; Nitrospirota
Description: bacterial SSU rRNA
Rfam family: Bacterial small subunit ribosomal RNA
Source: RNAcentral
CAUGCAAGUCGAACGAGAAUCCGGGGCAACCUGGUAGUAAAGUGGCGAACGGGUGAGGAAUGCAUGGGUAACCUGCCCUUGAGAAUGGAAUAACCCGCCGAAAGGCGAGCUAAUACCGUAUACGCUUGUUGUCUCACGGGAUGGCAAGGAAAACUGUACCGAGGGUACGGCGCUCAAGGAGGGGCUCAUGUCCUAUCAGCUUGUUGGUAGGGUAACGGCCUACCAAGGCAACGACGGGUAGCUGGUCUGAGAGGAUGAUCAGCCACACUGGCACUGAGAUACGGGCCAGACUCCUACGGGAGGCAGCAGUGAGGAAUAUUGCGCAAUGGGCGAAAGCCUGACGCAGCGACGCCGCGUGGGGGAUGAAGGUUUUCGAAUUGUAAACCCCUUUCAGGAGGAAAGAUAAGGCGGGUUACCGCCUGGACGGUACCUCCAGAAGAAGCCACGGCUAACUUCGUGCCAGCAGCCGCGGUAAUACGAAGGUGGCGAGCGUUGUUCGGAUUUACUGGGCGUAAAGAGCACGUAGGCGGUUAGGUAAGCCUCUUGGGAAAGCUCCUGGCUUAACCGGGAAAGGUCGAGGGGAACUACCUAGCUAGAGGA